Molecule: ribosomal RNA, 781 nt
Filed under: uncultured Dialister sp.
Lineage: Bacteria; Bacillati; Bacillota; Negativicutes; Veillonellales; Veillonellaceae
Description: bacterial SSU rRNA
Rfam family: Bacterial small subunit ribosomal RNA
Source: RNAcentral
GACGAACGCUGGCGGCGUGCUUAACACAUGCAAGUCGAACGGGAAGACAUGAAGAGCUUGCUCUUUAUGAAAUCCAGUGGCAAACGGGUGAGUAACACGUAAACAACCUGCCUUCAGGAUGGGGACAACAGACGGAAACGACUGCUAAUACCGAAUACGAUUCUUGAGUCGCAUGACACAAGAAAGAAAGGGUGGCCUCUACAAGUAAGCUAUCGCCUGAAGAGGGGUUUGCGUCCGAUUAGGUAGUUGGUGAGGUAACGGCCCACCAAGCCGACGAUCGGUAGCCGGUCUGAGAGGAUGAACGGCCACAUUGGAACUGAGACACGGUCCAGACUCCUACGGGAGGCAGCAGUGGGGAAUCUUCCGCAAUGGGCGAAAGCCUGACGGAGCAACGCCGCGUGAGUGAAGACGGCCUUCGGGUUGUAAAACUCUGUGAUUCGGGACGAAAGAUAAGUAGACGAAUAAUCUGCAUAAGUGACGGUACCGAAAAAGCAAGCCACGGCUAACUACGUGCCAGCAGCCGCGGUAAUACGUAGGUGGCAAGCGUUGUCCGGAAUUAUUGGGCGUAAAGCGCGCGCAGGCGGCUACUUAAGUCCAUCUUAAAAGUGCGGGGCUUAACCCCGUGAUGGGAUGGAAACUGAGAAGCUGGAGUGUCGGAGAGGAAAGUGGAAUUCCUAGUGUAGCGGUGAAAUGCGUAGAGAUUAGGAAGAACACCGGUGGCGAAGGCGACUUUCUGGACGACAACUGACGCUUAGGCGCGAAAGCGUGGGGAGCAAACAGG